Molecule: long non-coding RNA, 4694 nt
Organism: Brachypodium distachyon (stiff brome)
Lineage: Eukaryota; Viridiplantae; Streptophyta; Magnoliopsida; Poales; Poaceae
Exons: 8
Source: RefSeq, a predicted model, not a curated record
AUCAUCUUCUGCCCGAGCGCCCCACAGCCCAGCGUUUUGCUUUGUCUUCCUCCUCCCGUACACGUUCCAGAACUGGCACACCACGAACAGCCACUGCCGCCGGUUGAGCUCCCUUCAUCUAUCUCGAUCCAGACUGUUCGACCGCGACCAGGGAAUUAUACUCCAAUCCCCUGUAUCUCACGAACCGAUUCAAUCUCACGAACCGAUUCAGUCAAUAAACCUUCCGUUUCCCCUCUUGGUCUCCCAAUUACAACCACACGACCCGAAUGCCGUCCGUCGGCGUGCACCCCUCGAUCUCCCUCGCCAGCCUAUAAAAACCGUUUCCGAGCUUCACCUUGAAAGUUUCGUCUCUUAUCCUUUGUAGAGCCCGGUGCCAUGACCGUCUUCUCCCUUUUGGUCGCCGCCUCCAUUGUUGAAGGUGAGCUCGCUCCGAAGCUCUGUAUCUUAAUUUCUUACACCGUGAUAUUCCUCUGACCCCCUUCUACCUCUUUGAAAAGGAUUUGCAAUCUAUCUACACCAUUGGACGCGUCGCACCGAGGAGAUGCCAACGUCGCACCGGAGCUGCGCUCAUCGCCGUCCAGAUGCGUCUUCGAGCACCGCAACUGCGUCACGGAGUCCGCCCCGACCACAGGAGGUAGAAGAUUCCCUCGGUUUGUGCCAGGAAGCCCCGCCACCAUCGACCCACUGCCGGCGCGGCCCGAAAUGUUGUUGCCGUCGUUUGAGGCCGCCUCGCGGACCUCUGAGGACCCCCCAUCGACUUCGUAUGAAGUAUGAACUGCGUAUUUGACGCCCUCAUCUUCCCCGACCUCUGGCUGAUCAUCCCAUCCAUCUCCGAGAUAUGUGCGAGGGUAAAUUCCAAAUCGAACCUAAAACAGGUAGACAAGUUGAGAACCUUUGGAAAUGAAGGAAAUGCUAUAACACAAGGGAAAGCACAGAAGAAUCAUACGGAGUGUGAUUAGUACAAGUUGUGAAGAAGAGUACCAAGACACUAAGCAGGUGGUGUGAAUAGCAAGUCCUUCUUGUAUGACCUAUGCCGCCUUACCGAACAUUCAAGGACAGAAGAAAUUAUAGAUCCCCAAGAUCUUAUAUCAAAGACCUUGGAGGAAAAUUCAACAAGUUUGGCCAACAUUAGGACCCACAUGAAUUUGUAUCAUAAGACAAUACAUGUCUUUUUUCGGUUCCCUUAGGUCUAUUGGUCUUAUUAUGUAUUUUUGCGAUGAUGCGAUGGUGUCUUUUUGUGUGGUGCAACAAGUGAACUCAUGGAGACAUGUUCAAAGAAGCAUGGAUGAAAUAUGCCUUUCCGAUGGUUUAUGAGCAUGAAUGUAGAAACUUUUCAAAGAGAAAUGGGAAGAAACACCAUUUGAAUGUCGGGUGUCGCCUCUUCCUGUAAUAAUUGAAGGUAAAGGUAAAAUUUGUGCAUCAUUGGAAGAAGGCUUGGAGCUAUCUUCUGAAAAAGAAAAAUUUCCUACUUUGAAAUGUGCAAAGUAAGUUUGGUGCACUUCUUGUUUAUACGCUUUUAGAUUCUUUUUUUCUUUGACAUGAUUACUAAUUGCAAACCGAGGAACAAGCAACAUUGAACACAUCUUAAACAUAUCUUAGUCUUCUAGGUUUCACAUGUGACAAAUAGGUGAAUAUUUUGCUAUUGUAUGUUUCACAUGUGACAAAUAGGUCACUUCAUACUUCGGAAUUAAUGAUAUCUUGCCAGAAGCCUUCAAUGGCAGUGAGGGUGGAGGUGGUAUCAAGGGGCUUCAGAGCUGCAAGAGCUCAUGCCCAGGUGCUGGCCCUUGGUUUCUUAUGCGUUCAGAAGGGGCUUGAAAGCUCCAAGAGCUCAUGCCUAGGGUGUUGGCCCUUGGUUCUUAGGCCUCUUCUUAUACUUUGUGGCACGUUUCUAUACUAGUUCCUGGGGUGUGGUGUGUGUGUUUGUUCCUUGUACUCUGCUGUCUACUUUGCACCACCAUAUAGUCUAAUCAUAUUAAGUGUUGACUAUCAUCAGCAUUAUUUAUUCGUGGCUUUAGGAGACAACACCUGAAUCAAAGCCAAGUAAAAUUAAGGCCACGGCGACAAACAGAUUAUCCCAGGUUCAGAGUGCAAGCUACAGGAUCUAAUGGAAGACCGAUCAAACGUUGGCUCAAAUGUGGUAAAUGUAACACCUAGUUGGGUACCUCAACUUGGCAUGAAAUUUAGCAGUGUUGAUGCGGCUUGGAAAUUUUGGGCAUACUGGAGGAAGGAUGGAGUUCAAUGUCGGGAAGAGAUACACAAACAAAAGCAAGUUUGAUGGCAAGAUCACUGUAUGUAGGUAUGUGUGUUCAAAAGAGGGUCACAGGGUAGCAGACAAAAGAGAUCAUUUACAUAAGAACCUCGAGCUGAAACUACGGUUGUGAAGUGCAUAUGAGCCUUACAAUAGACCGAGAAGUAGGAAAUUACUAAAUAUGUGGCCUUGGUCUUGAACACAAUCAUAUGCUUCAAUUGCCAGAAGCACGUCAUCUUAUUCCGUGACAGCGAAAGAUCUCUGAAGUACAAGCCUUUGAAAUUGAAAUUGCUGAUGACUCAGGUAUUGGACCAAAGGCUGCUCAUCAGUUGGCUAGCCAAAGGAUUGGUGGAUCAUGUAAUCUUAGAAAUACACACCGGAUCACAGGAACUAUUUUGCGAACUAAGCGUCAAAGGGACCUAGAGUAUGGUGAAGCGGGUAGCAUGCUGAAAUAUUUUCAAGAUAGAACUGCAGAGAAUUUGUUGUUCUAGUAUGCUUUUCAGUUGGAUUGUGAAGAAAAUAUCACAAACAUAGGGCUGAUAACAAAAUGAUCAUCGAUUAUGCUCAUUCGGUGAUGUUGUGAGCUUUGACACUAAUCUAGGCCCUUUGAGUGUUUGUUGGGUUCAAUCAUUUCAGAGAAACAAUUAUAUUUGGUGCUUCUCUGCUCUAUGAUGAGACAUUCGGUUCUUUUAAAUGGCUUUUUGAUACAUUCAUGUCAGUACAUAACCAGAAGCAACCUCGAACGAUAUAUAGUGAUCAAGACGCUGCAAUGGGAAAGCCGAUAGAGCAUGUGUUUCCAGAAGUCCAACAUGGCCUAUGUACUUUCCACAUUAUGCAAAAUACAGUCAAUCAUUUAUGUAGUCACAAGGAUGAUGCUGAUGAUGACGAAGAAUCAUCUCUUCUUGCAGAUUUUAGUGCAUGCAUGUAUAAGUAUGAUGAUAAGGCAACAUUUGAAGAAUCUUUCGAAAUUAUGAGAGGUAAGGUGCAAAAGCAAACUUGGCUUGAUAAUCCCUCCGAUCCAUAUUAGUUGUCAAAAUAUUACAUGUAUCUAGACGCUUUUUAGGCAUAAAUACAUCCAUAUUUGAGCAAAUUUGAGACAAUUAAUAUGGAUCAGAGGAAGUAGUGUUUAUAAGGUAAAGGAGAAGUGGGCAGAGUGUUACAUGAGAAAUGUUUUCACCUUGGGAAUGCGGAGCACACAACUACCUAGAAUCAAAAUGAAGACGCCCAUGUUAAUGCAAGCAAGCUUAGCACUCUUGUUAUAUCUGAGUGUUUUCAGACUGAAUACGAGAGACCUACAGCAGCUUGCCCUGAAGUGCUAGAUGGACACCACGAAUAUAUGGUUAAAAUUGGAAGUCUUUGUGAAUAUCCAAAAUUUGAAGAAGAAUGCAAAGUUAUUGCCAAUCCAUGGGAAUAAACAGAUAUAUGUAGUUGUCGACAGUUUGAUCUAGUAGGAAUACUGCGCAGCCAUGCUUUAAAAGUCCUUGAUAUGAUGAAUAUCAAGCUGCUGCCUGUCCUGCACAUUAUAUACUGAAGCGAUGGACUCGAGAAGCACGGUCAGAAUCUGUUGAAGAUAGUCAUGGAAGAACAAGUGUCGAAAAUCCCUAGUUGGAGGCCCUUCAACACUACAAUCUUCUCUCACACAAAUUUGUUAAGUUGGCCACCCAAGCAUCCAGCUCUGAAGAAUGUUGCAUUUUAAUUGAGAAUGCACUUGACAGCGCUAGUAAGCAAGUUGAAGAGCGGUUGAAUGGGGGCACAUAUAAUUCUGAUGAGAGGCAUGAUGCUAAUGGGACUCCUCAAGCAUCAAAUGAUUUGUUGAGCUCUGCACGCCUGAAGAAAAAGCCAACUGAAAAUAGAAGAUCAAGGAGAAAGAAAACUUGGCUUGAUAAGCUACACAAAAGAAGAAAGAGAGGACCAGCUAAAGAUGGAGCACCAGAACAAUCAUCUAAGAAAGGGUAGAAGACCAACACAUCACAAGGUCAGGUAAUGGCUGCGGAAGUUUCUAUGGGAAAUGAAAAUGCUUUCCAAGAAAAUGAAGUGAUAAGAAGUUAUAUGGACCUACUGACGAAUUCUACUGUUGAAGACAUGUGGUUUGAAGGUAUAUUUUGAUCACCAUGUAUUCAGAAAAAUAUUGAUGCUUGGAGGCUGGAGAACUAGUAGUAUUGAUGUCUGGAGCACCGGUAGUACUUCCUCCGAUCCAUAUUAGUUGUCGAAAUAUUACAUGUAUUUAGACGCUUUUUAGGUAUAAAUACAUCCAUAUUUGUACAAAUUUAAGACAAUUAAUAUGGAUCGGAGAGAGUAGUUUCUUUCUCAAGUUACUUGAUUCAGGAAAUGCCUGGAGGUUGUACUGAGCUAUUUCUGAAAGCUUGGAGAUUUCAUCAGACUUUUUAGUGUUAAGUUUUUCUAUUACAUUCAGUCCAGUGAUCCACUAGUUGUUUAACAUGAUAUA